This 309-nucleotide ribosomal RNA is filed under the name gamma proteobacterium symbiont of Ctena orbiculata. Its description in RNAcentral is "bacterial SSU rRNA". It matches the Rfam family "Bacterial small subunit ribosomal RNA", at positions 1 to 308 of the family's 1533-position model. Lineage: Bacteria; Pseudomonadati; Pseudomonadota; Gammaproteobacteria. The record is from RNAcentral.
UUAAACUGAAGAGUUUGAUCCUGGCUCAGAUUGAACGCUGGCGGUAUGCUUAACACAUGCAAGUCGAACGGUAACAGCAGAGCUUGCUCUGGCUGACGAGUGGCGGACGGGUGAGUAACGCGUAGGAAUCUGCCUAGUAGUGGGGGACAACUCGGGGAAACUCGAGCUAAUACCGCAUACGCCCUACGGGGGAAAGCGGGGGAUCUUCGGACCUCGCGCUAUUAGAUGAGCCUGCGUUGGAUUAGCUUGUUGGUGAGGUAACGGCUCACCAAGGCGACGAUCCAUAGCUGGUCUGAGAGGACGAUCAGC